GUGCCAGCAGCCGCGGUAAUACGUAGGUGGCAAGCGUUGUCCGGAUUUACUGGGCGUAAAGGAUGCGUAGGCGGACUUUUAAGUGGGAUGUGAAAUUCCGAGGCUCAACCUCGGCGCUGCAUUCCAAACUGGAAGUCUAGAGUGCGGGAGAGGAAAGUGGAAUUCCUAGUGUAGCGGUGAAAUGCGUAGAGAUUAGGAAGAACACCAGUGGCGAAGGCGACUUUCUGGACCGUAACUGACGCUGAUGCAUGAAAGCGUGGGGAGCAAACAGGAUUAGAAACCCUGGUAGUCC
Molecule: ribosomal RNA, 292 nt
Filed under: uncultured bacterium
Lineage: Bacteria
Description: partial 16S ribosomal RNA
Rfam family: Bacterial small subunit ribosomal RNA
Source: RNAcentral